This 341-nucleotide ribosomal RNA is filed under the name Clostridioides difficile. RNAcentral describes it as "bacterial SSU rRNA". It matches the Rfam family "Bacterial small subunit ribosomal RNA", at positions 1070 to 1412 of the family's 1533-position model. Lineage: Bacteria; Bacillati; Bacillota; Clostridia; Peptostreptococcales; Peptostreptococcaceae. The record is from RNAcentral.
AGAUGUUGGGUUAAGUCCCGCAACGAGCGCAACCCUUGUCUUUAGUUGCCAUCAUUAAGUUGGGCACUCUAGAGAGACUGCCAGGGAUAACCUGGAGGAAGGUGGGGAUGACGUCAAAUCAUCAUGCCCCUUAUGCUUAGGGCUACACACGUGCUACAAUGGGUAGUACAGAGGGUUGCCAAGCCGUAAGGUGGAGCUAAUCCCUUAAAGCUACUCUCAGUUCGGAUUGUAGGCUGAAACUCGCCUACAUGAAGCUGGAGUUACUAGUAAUCGCAGAUCAGAAUGCUGCGGUGAAUGCGUUCCCGGGUCUUGUACACACCGCCCGUCACACCACGGGAGUU